This 375-nucleotide ribosomal RNA is filed under the name uncultured bacterium. RNAcentral's name for it is "bacterial SSU rRNA". It matches the Rfam family "Bacterial small subunit ribosomal RNA", at positions 42 to 447 of the family's 1533-position model. The record is from RNAcentral.
UCAGGCCUAACACAUGCAAGUCGAGCGAGGACUUCGGUCCUAGCGGCGGACGGGUGAGUAACGCGUGGGAACGUGCCCUUUGCUUCGGAAUAGCCCUGGGAAACUGGGAGUAAUACCGGAUGAGCCCUACGGGGGAAAGAUUUAUCGGCGAAGGAUCGGCCCGCGUUGGAUUAGGUAGUUGGUGGGGUAAUGGCCUACCAAGCCGACGAUCCAUAGCUGGUUUGAGAGGAUGAUCAGCCACACUGGGACUGAGACACGGCCCAGACUCCUACGGGAGGCAGCAGUGGGGAAUCUUAGACGAUGGGGGAAACCCUGAUCUAGCCAUGCCGCGUGAGCAAAGGAGGCCUUAGGGUUGUAAAGCUCUUCAGCGGGAAG